UACAGAGGGUGCAAGCGUUGUUCGGAAUCAUUGGGCGUAAAGGGUGCGUAGGCGGCGCGGUAAGUCGGGUGUGAAAUCUCGGAGCUUAACUCCGAAACUGCAUUCGAUACUGCCGUGCUUGAGGACUGGAGAGGAGACUGGAAUUUACGGUGUAGCGGUGAAAUGCGUAGAUAUCGUAAGGAAGACCAGUGGCGAAGGCGGGUCUCUGGACAGUUCCUGACGCUGAGGCACGAAGGUCAGGGGAGCAAACGGG
This 253-nucleotide ribosomal RNA is filed under the name uncultured bacterium. RNAcentral's name for it is "partial 16S ribosomal RNA". It matches the Rfam family "Bacterial small subunit ribosomal RNA", at positions 524 to 776 of the family's 1533-position model. The record is from RNAcentral.